Molecule: ribosomal RNA, 253 nt
Filed under: uncultured bacterium
Lineage: Bacteria
Description: partial 16S ribosomal RNA
Rfam family: Bacterial small subunit ribosomal RNA
Source: RNAcentral
UACGAAGGGAGCUAGCGUUGUUCGGAAUCACUGGGCGUAAAGGGCGCGUAGGCGGCCGAUCAAGUCGGGGGUGAAAGCCUGUGGCUCAACCACAGAAUUGCCUUCGAUACUGUUUGGCUUGAGACCGGAAGAGGUUAGUGGAACUGCGAGUGUAGAGGUGAAAUUCGUAGAUAUUCACAAGAACACCAGUGGCGAAGGCGGCUGACUGGUCCGGUUCUGACGCUGAGGCGCGAAAGCGUGGGGAGCAAACAGG